AUUGAACGCUGGCGGCAUGCUUUACACAUGCAAGUCGAACGGCAGCGCGGGCUUCGGCCUGGCGGCGAGUGGCGAACGGGUGAGUAAUGCAUCGGAACGUGCCCAGUAGUGGGGGAUAGCCCGACGAAAGCCGGAUUAAUACCGCAUACGACCUGAGGGUGAAAGCGGGGGACCGAAAGGCCUCGCGCUAUUGGAGCGGCCGAUGUCGGAUUAGCUAGUUGGUGGGGUAAAGGCUUACCAAGGCGACGAUCCGUAGCUGGUCUGAGAGGACGACCAGCCACACUGGGACUGAGACACGGCCCAGACUCCUACGGGAGGCAGCAGUGGGGAAUUUUGGACAAUGGGGGCAACCCUGAUCCAGCCAUGCCGCGUGCGAGAAGAAGGCCUUCGGGUUGUAAACCGCUUUUGUUCGGGAAGAAAUCCUCUGGGCUAAUACCCCGGGGGGAUGACGGUACCGGAAGAAUAAGCACCGGCUAACUACGUG
This 484-nucleotide ribosomal RNA is filed under the name uncultured bacterium. Its description in RNAcentral is "partial 16S ribosomal RNA". It matches the Rfam family "Bacterial small subunit ribosomal RNA", at positions 29 to 507 of the family's 1533-position model. The record is from RNAcentral.